This 483-nucleotide ribosomal RNA is filed under the name uncultured bacterium. Its description in RNAcentral is "partial 16S ribosomal RNA". It matches the Rfam family "Bacterial small subunit ribosomal RNA", at positions 30 to 507 of the family's 1533-position model. The record is from RNAcentral.
UUGAACGCUGGCGGCAGGCCUAACACAUGCAAGUCGAGCGGAUGAAGGGAGCUUGCUCCUGGCUUCAGCAGCGGACGGGUGAGUAAUGCCUAGGAAUCUGCCUGGUAGUGGGGGAUAACGUCCGGAAACGGGCGCUAAUACCGCAUACGUCCUGAGGGAGAAAGUGGGGGAUCUUCGGACCUCACGCUAUCAGAUGAGCCUAGGUCGGAUUAGCUAGUUGGUGGGGUAAAGGCCUACCAAGGCGACGAUCCGUAACUGGUCUGAGAGGAUGAUCAGUCACACUGGAACUGAGACACGGUCCAGACUCCUACGGGAGGCAGCAGUGGGGAAUAUUGGACAAUGGGCGAAAGCCUGAUCCAGCCAUGCCGCGUGUGUGAAGAAGGUCUUCGGAUUGUAAAGCACUUUAAGUUGGGAGGAAGGGCAGUAAGUUAAUACCUUGCUGUUUUGACGUUACCAACAGAAUAAGCACCGGCUAACUUCGUG